GGGUUGUGAGGUUAAGCGACUAAGCGUACACGGUGGAUGCCCUGGCAGUCAGAGGCGAUGAAGGACGUGCUAAUCUGCGAUAAGCGUCGGUAAGGUGAUAUGAACCGUUAUAACCGGCGAUUUCCGAAUGGGGAAACCCAGUGUGUUUCGACACACUAUCAUUAACUGAAUCCAUAGGUUAAUGAGGCGAACCGGGGGAACUGAAACAUCUAAGUACCCCGAGGAAAAGAAAUCAACCGAGAUUCCCCCAGUAGCGGCGAGCGAACGGGGAGCAGCCCAGAGCCUGAAUCAGUGUGUGUGUUAGUGGAAGCGUCUGGAAAGGCGCGCGAUACAGGGUGACAGCCCCGUACACAAAAAUGCACAURCUGUGAGCUCGAUGAGUAGGGCGGGACACGUGGUAUCCUGUCUGAAUAUGGGGGGACCAUCCUCCAAGGCUAAAUACUCCUGACUGACCGAUAGUGAACCAGUACCGUGAGGGAAAGGCGAAAAGAACCCCGGCGAGGGGAGUGAAAAAGAACCUGAAACCGUGUACGUACAAGCAGUGGGAGCACGCUUAGGCGUGUGACUGCGUACCUUUUGUAU
RNAcentral lists this ribosomal RNA (582 nucleotides) under Escherichia coli. RNAcentral describes it as "partial 23S ribosomal RNA". It matches the Rfam family "Bacterial large subunit ribosomal RNA", at positions 1 to 615 of the family's 2925-position model. The record is from RNAcentral. Lineage: Bacteria; Pseudomonadati; Pseudomonadota; Gammaproteobacteria; Enterobacterales; Enterobacteriaceae.